This 262-nucleotide non-coding RNA is filed under the name Paenibacillus dendritiformis. Its description in RNAcentral is "T-box sequence". It matches the Rfam family "T-box leader". From Rfam's summary of the family: Uncharged tRNA acts as the effector for transcription antitermination of genes in the T-box leader family. T-boxes are found upstream of many aminoacyl-tRNA synthetase genes and some amino acid biosynthetic genes usually in Gram-positive bacteria. The anticodon of a specific tRNA base pairs to a specifier sequence within the T-box motif, and the NCCA acceptor tail of the tRNA base pairs to a conserved bulge in the T-box antiterminator hairpin. The record is from RNAcentral. Lineage: Bacteria; Bacillati; Bacillota; Bacilli; Caryophanales; Paenibacillaceae.
UUAACUUCAUGGACGAGAAGAGUAAGCUAUGAAUCCCGAUCUCCAGAGAGUUGGUGUAUGCUGCAAGCCAACGUUCGGCUCAUAGCUGAAGGUCAUCUCCGAGAAGCGCGGCUGAACUCGAGUAAGCUGCGACGGACUUCCACCGUUAUCCGGAAUGCGUACGGUAUGGUAUAUCAGUACGUAAUGAGCUGCAUGGUGCGGGAAUGAUAACAACCUGCUCCGUGAAAAUGGGUGGUAACGCGGAUCACAAUCCGUCCCUGUC